Molecule: long non-coding RNA, 333 nt
Organism: Rosa chinensis
Lineage: Eukaryota; Viridiplantae; Streptophyta; Magnoliopsida; Rosales; Rosaceae
Exons: 3
Source: RefSeq, a predicted model, not a curated record
UUAGUUGGUAAAUCUGAAAUUUUUCUUUCAAGUAGGUGUUCUAUUUGAUUUAUAUAUAUGUGAUUUUGUAUGAUUACAUGCUUGACUUUGCGAUUGAUUUCAGAAUUUCAUUGUUGUUCUGUUUGCCUUUUGCAGGUUUGAUGCGAAAAAGUGUGCAACUGAUUGUUUUGGCGCUGUUCCUUUGUCUGUUGAAGCUCCCACAGUUAGAAUCUGUUCCUCAGUUGACAGUACAAACUUCUGUGGAAAACAGUUUCUCUUAUGCAGAUUCUAUUUGUUCCCCGAUUUCAUAUCUGGAUAAGUCACUGCUGCUAUUUCAAGGUAUAGCUGUCAAUU